This 510-nucleotide ribosomal RNA is filed under the name uncultured bacterium. RNAcentral describes it as "partial 16S ribosomal RNA". It matches the Rfam family "Bacterial small subunit ribosomal RNA", at positions 28 to 507 of the family's 1533-position model. The record is from RNAcentral.
GACGAACGCUGGCGGCGUGCCUAAUACAUGCAAGUCGAACGAAACUUUCUUACGCCGACUGCUUGCAUUCACCGUAAGAAGUUGAGUGGCGGACGGGUGAGUAACACGUGGGUAACCUGCCUAAAAGAAGGGGAUAACACUUGGAAACAGGUGCUAAUACCGUAUAUCUCUAAGGAUCGCAUGAUCCUUAGAUGAAAGAUGGUUCUGCUAUCGCUUUUCGAUGGACCCGCGGCGUAUUAACUAGUUGGUGGGGUAACGGCCUACCAAGGUGAUGAUACGUAGCCGAACUGAGAGGUUGAUCGGCCACAUUGGGACUGAGACACGGCCCAAACUCCUACGGGAGGCAGCAGUAGGGAAUCUUCCACAAUGGACGCAAGUCUGAUGGAGCAACGCCGCGUGAGUGAAGAAGGUCUUCGGAUCGUAAAACUCUGUUGUUAGAGAAGAACACGAGUGAGAGUAACUGUUCAUUCGAUGACGGUAUCUAACCAGCAAGUCACGGCUAACUACGUG